CCUACGGGAGGCUGCAGUAGGGAAUAUUGGGCAAUGGACGCAAGUCUGACCCAGCCAUCCCGCGUGAAGGAAGAAGGGUCUCUGACUCGUAAACUUCUUUUAUUGGGGAAGAAAAAGUCUGAUUCAUCAGAAACUGACGGUACCCAAUGAAUAAGCACCGGCUAACUCCGUGCCAGCAGCCGCGGUAAUACGGAGGGUGCAAGCGUUAUCCGGAUUCACUGGGUUUAAAGGGUGCGUAGGCGGUCCGAUAAGUCAGUGGUGAAAGCCCGCAGCUUAACUGCGGAAUUGCCAUUGAAACUGCCGGACUUGAAUCUGGUUGAAGUGGGCGGAAUAUAUCAUGUAGCGGUGAAAUGCUUAGAUAUGAUGUAGAACACCGAUUGCGAAGGCAGCUCACUAAGCCAACAUUGACGCUGAGGCACGAAAGCGUGGGUAGCGAACAG
This 440-nucleotide ribosomal RNA is filed under the name uncultured bacterium. RNAcentral's name for it is "bacterial SSU rRNA". It matches the Rfam family "Bacterial small subunit ribosomal RNA", at positions 338 to 775 of the family's 1533-position model. The record is from RNAcentral.